RNAcentral lists this ribosomal RNA (347 nucleotides) under uncultured bacterium. Its description in RNAcentral is "bacterial SSU rRNA". It matches the Rfam family "Bacterial small subunit ribosomal RNA", at positions 917 to 1264 of the family's 1533-position model. The record is from RNAcentral.
GGGCCCGCACAAGCGGUGGAGCAUGUGGUUUAAUUCGAUGCAACGCGAAAAACCUUACCUACACUUGACAUACUUCGAAUUUUCUAGAGAUAGAUUUGUGCCUUCGGGAACACUAUGACAGGUGUUGCAUGGCUGUCGUCAGCUCGUGUCGUGAGAUGUAUGGUUAAGUCCAGUAACGAGCGCAACCCCUAUUCUUAUUUGCCAGCACUUCGGGUGGGAACUAUAAGGAGACCGCCGUGUAUAACACGGAGGAAGGCGGGGACGACGUCAAGUCAUCAUGGCCCUUACGGGUUGGGCUACACACGUGCUACAAUGGGAGAUACAGAUGGUUGCGAAAGCGCGAGCUG